RNAcentral lists this ribosomal RNA (253 nucleotides) under uncultured bacterium. Its description in RNAcentral is "partial 16S ribosomal RNA". It matches the Rfam family "Bacterial small subunit ribosomal RNA", at positions 524 to 776 of the family's 1533-position model. The record is from RNAcentral.
UGCGUAGGGUGCAAGCGUUGUCCGGAAUUAUUGGGCGUAAAGAGCUCGUAGGCGGUCUGUCGCGUCGGCUGUGAAAACUCGGGGCUCAACCCCGAGCCUGCAGUCGAUACGGGCAGACUAGAGUGCUGUAGGGGAGACUGGAAUUCCUGGUGUAGCGGUGAAAUGCGCAGAUAUCAGGAGGAACACCGGUGGCGAAGGCGGGUCUCUGGGCAGUAACUGACGCUGAGGAGCGAAAGCGUGGGGAGCGAACAGG